AAAUUCUUUUGGUUUCUGUCGUGGCUGGUGAGGCAACAAGUGAGCUGCUCCCCAUGAGCUUUGGCAACAAUUUCACCACCCUAGAACCCAUCAGCACCAAUGAAACCAUCACCACAAAUGUCACGAACCAUCCUUCUACCACUUUUACUCUACCCAACUCCUCCACACCAAUGUACACCAACAACCAGAGCUCAUCUGUAACCACUGGUUUGUCACGUUUUGGACUUUUUUUUUUUUUUUACAAAUUUAUAAAUGUAUUCAGUUUCCUGUUUUGAUGAUGUAUGAUGUGCUUCCUCCUUCAGGUUCGAAUGACGAAGAUUCUAAUGAUAACGUUCGAGGAAACACACCUACGCCUAAGCCCAAACAAACCAUCAUGACCACCAAAACCACAACACCUACCACUACUAAAAAGACAAGCACCACUGCUAAAAAUAUCCACCAUACAUCUAACAGCGGUGACAAAACUGGAAUCAUUAUUUUGAUUGUGCUCAUCCUGUUGGUUUUGGGGUUUGGGAUUACUUGUUGCAUCAUUCAAAGGAGACGUUCACACCUCUCUGUGAAUUUUACCACCUCCAGAGUCGAUGAAGUCAACAUCCCUCUCAGCGCUGCAGAGCCUGAAGUUGGUUCUGCACCUCUAAACGGACACUUUUCAGGCUUCCAAAGCCUUGAAGGGACUCAAACAACUGAAAAAGUGCCAGAAGUGCCUGAAGGGAAUCUUGAAUCACAGGAGGAGCAGAAAGCUGAGGCUGAUAAACCUGCUGAUUCCAGCGCUGAGGCUGAAGCUCCAGCUCCAGCUGCUGCUCCAGCUCCAGCUCCAGCUCCAGACAACCCAGAGGACAAAUCUAAAGCAGACGCGGUCGAUCAAAGCACCCCUGCUACUGUGGAGCCCAGUUCAGAGGAGAAAACUGACGAUGAAGAUGGAGUCUCCAGCAAAACCUCUGUGGAGUCCCUGAAGGAGACAAACGAGAACAACAGCAACAACGUUGACUCUGGUCAGAUAAGAGAAAGGCACCAGCUGAGGGAAGUUCGUGUUGACGCUCCGGAAUGAGAAGCAGCUGCCAUCUUGUGUCCAUGCCGUUCAUCAGAAACAAGAUUUCAGAAGAAGCCUCAGGGGAUGAGAACAUAUCUAUUCAAAGCGUGAGGAAACUGUCACUGAAAACAAUUUGGAGCUAAAUGUUUGUUGCAAAGCAUAUCAUUGAACUUUAAAUGUAAAUUAAGCUAAUUGUUUAGUAUUUUUUUCAACUGAAUUUAUAUGUAUUAAAAGAAGUUAUUGAAAUGAUCUUAAUUUACAAUUUAACAGUUCAAAGAGGUGUGUUGUGCUGAAUUUAUCUGUUUUAUUAGGAAUGUAUUCUAGGAAAAUCAGUGGUUAGUAAGUAUUUCUGCAGCUGUCAUUAAUGUCCAAUGUUAGCAGAGAAAGAUGGAGACAUGAUGGUGGUUAAGUGCAUCUUGUACAGUCUCACAUCUGGCCACAUGAAGCUCUGCACAAACGUUGAAGAAAACACUGUAAACUUUCAUUUGUUUCUUUCAAAGUUUUAAAGAAACAUUUUAAGUUUCCCACUUUUCCCUCCUACUGGUUGAAAGCGGAAAUACAACUGUUGUGAAAAGCCCUCCAGCAGCCUGCUGUAGCUAGCGCUAAUAAGCCAACGCUAACACAAGCCAACUGAUAUUAAAGGAGUUGUUCACAGAAAAAAUAUUUUUAAUUAUUAUUUCUAACUAUUAUUGGUCACUGAGUUUUUUACGAAGCUAAACAUGAUAAUAAUCUUCCACCUGAGGCUAGGUGUCCAAAUAUAAAGAAAUUAGACUCCAUAUCUUCUCGUCUGAAGCUCAACUCUCAUGUGGCUCACUUCUAUUUCCUGAAAUAGGAGCACCAGGAUUUUUUUUUUUGCUGAGUUUGACUUGCAAGGCAUCAUUCUAACUAGAGAUCCCUGCGAAUGUGAUGAUUAAACGAGUGAACCACACCUUUAAAUUUACCACAAACUAAAAAGAUCCACACUGUUGGACAAAAACAUUAUUACUUACAAGUCUAGUAGCAAAAAACCCAGGUCAUGCAUCAUCAAACUGUGAUUUAAUAUCCUCCUUCAGCUUCCUCAAUUGAGCAUAGGUUGCGCUAAUGUUCACUCUGUUUUGACUCCUUGUUUCGCCUCCAAAGACAUUACUCCCUUUUACUUCACUUUUACUUCCAGGCUGCACAAUAAUGCCGACAAAAUAAUGGCAAAAUUCUUCUUUUAUUUAUUCUUGUAUUAUUUAUUGACAAUUGGCCAAUGGAUAAGGCUAACUGCUAGCCUUUAUAUGAGCCACCAACAUGAUAAACAGCUAUUGUGGGUAUAGACCUCCAACUAGUGCACCUACCCAAACCACAAAACUGUUAAAUGUAGUUUCUGGUCAGUAGACGGCUGCAGGUGUCUGUCCAGUGUGAAGUUGCUUAAGUUUGGCUCAAGAAUCACUGAAACCGGUUUAAAAGCAAUAGCUUAGAUUGGUUAAAAAACGUUUUAGUGUUGCUUUAAUCAAAGUUCUCCACCUCAUUCGUGAUCAUUUAUGAUAUAAAUUUUAUAGAUACCUGACUGUAAAUGCUACCACUAUAAUUAUCCCAAAUAACAGACCUUCAUAUUUUUCACACAAAGCAAAGGAAAUAUUAACUUCUCCUAAAUAAACUCUUAUUUUUAAUGAGUAGUAUUUGUGAAAUCAGAAACAUAAAAAAUGAAUAGUUAAACAGUGAAGGUUGUAAAAUAUUAACAUUAUUACAUUUAGAGUUGUCAUAUGUUUCAUGUGGAUGUUGUUUGGUGUUCUUUCUGUUCAGUAGUUUAUAGUUGUUGUGAUUUAAAUGGAAUUACAUUUUUUGAAAUAAAAGUAUUCGUUACAUCCUGUACUUUUUUCUACAUUUCACCCACCUUAACAUGUAUCUAUUUAUUAUAGUCAGUAAGUUAUAGUAAGUAUAUUUGAUCUUAUCAAAUUCUGAUUGAAUGGAUUUGACACCUUAUUAAAUUACAUUUUGUCAGACAAUCUCAGUCUAUAUUAUUCAAUCCUUGAUCACAAAAACAACACUGGAAUAUUUUCCGUGUGUGGCAUGAAGUGAUAUAAAUGAAGUUUUCCUUCAUGCUGGUGAAGCUUCUCAGGCAAUCAGGUCAUGGUUCUCCAAAGGGGUUCAUGUGAAGGCAACUGGACUUUUUUGGUUUCUUGAAGACGUUUUGCUUCUGAUCCAAGAAGCGUUGUCAGUUCUGACUGGAAUGUGGGAGGGUCAAGUUUAUAAACUGUAGCUGUCUAUUGUUGCUCAAUGAGCUGAAACUACCAAUGAAUACCCCUCCUCCCUAUCCACCGAGGAGUCAUUGAAGUCGUAGGGCAUAUUGUUUUUCUUUAAAUCUGCUAUAGAAAUUUUUGAAAACAAAUUAGCUUAAAACUUUUGUUCAUGCCUCUAAACAAAGUUCUAACAUAGUAUAUCUAUAAAUAUAUUGUGGAGUAAAAACAAAUAUUCAAUAAAGAGGUUUUCUUGAAUUUGUCUAAAAACCUCCAUUGAUAACAAGUUUCAGACCCAAAGCAACUAUUGGACUAUCCAGUUGUCGGUCUUGCCGAACCGCCGCAAUUCCACACUUCCCUCUGUCCUCCAUUCAUUCCGCAUUUGAGUAUUUAGAAACAGAUCAUCCUGGUUUGAGAGGUUCUCUGCUCAAUAAUAUCAGAAAGGGAGAGCCGGCUGUUACUAAUUCAACUUUAGGACAAACUACCAGAGUCCAAAAAAGAAAAACACCAUUUGACAAGAAGAGACAUUUGGACCUAGAAAACGGCGACUGAUGUUUUCUCCAGCAUCGUGGGUUUCCAGUUCUGGCAUUAGCAUCUCGGGGAAGAUAUCCAAGGGGAGGGGUGAGUGUUCUGUGAUUAGGGAUGGGUACCUUUGACAUUUGAAUCGAUCCGGUACUAAUUCCUGGUACCUACGAAUCGAUACCGGCACUUAACAGUACCAAAUUUUUGAUACUUUUGAGUGUUUAAUAUUUUUAAUUCUUUUUUAAAAUUAAGUAUAUAUUUUUCUCAACAUAUAACCAUAUUUGAUAAAUAUCACGAUAAAUAACAUACAACUGUUUUAACAUUGUCCUUGUAGUUUUAUAAGCUGAUAAUUAAACUGAAGCAAACAUCUUUACUGUGAACUAAAUUUACUGUGUAUCUUCAUUCCUUUUACCGUCCUUUUUCAAUUGAUUUUUCCUACUGGGAAGUUAGAAUUUCCGAGGAGAAAGCGAAUGCACCAUUAGCUGAUAACAAUGGUGGCAUAGGAAGCUAACAUAUCAAGCUA
Long non-coding RNA from Nothobranchius furzeri (turquoise killifish), 4276 nucleotides. NCBI's taxonomy places the organism in Eukaryota, Metazoa, Chordata, Actinopteri, Cyprinodontiformes, Nothobranchiidae. The record is from Ensembl.